Long non-coding RNA from Oreochromis niloticus (Nile tilapia), 829 nucleotides. RefSeq lists it as uncharacterized. The record is from RefSeq and is a predicted model, not a curated record. The transcript has 4 exons. NCBI's taxonomy places the organism in Eukaryota, Metazoa, Chordata, Actinopteri, Cichliformes, Cichlidae.
UUUUUCUUUAGGAGACAGUCUGGUGUUAAAACUUCUUUUCACUGUCUUGUGAAACUGUUAAAUUAUUUUGUAAAAAUCCACCUACAUAUAUCAGAAUAGGCACAAAAACAAAAAAAGCGCACGGAGCCAGAGGGCAGGGAUUAAUUUUCUUUGUCCAGCCUACACUGUAAAUGAGAAAACAUCACAUCACUGAGAGGAACGAUGAAGGAAACAUCUCUGCAUUGUCUGCUCUUUCUGAUCUCAGUGCUGAGCUGCACAACAAACCAAGUGAAGCAGUGGGCGGCCACUAAGAAGGCACCGGGGGAGCAGUGUUUAGGGACAGUACCUUGGCUCAGGGGUACAUCAGGGUAGCCGUUCAGUGGAUUGGAACCCCCAACCCUUCUGAUCAUGGAGUGACCACUCUACCUACUGAGCUAUCCCUGCCCCUAAAAAUCUAAGGGUUUGUAAUUAUGUCAGUUUUGAUGACGACAAAAAUAAUCAUCCACUUUUCAUUUUAACCCUCACAGCUCGUCUGACUGAGAGUCCCAGGAGCUCUCAGUUCUUUCAAGGAGACUUUGUGUCUCUGAGCUGUGAGGAGGACGACAGCUCUGCUGGAUGGACUCUGAGGAGAAAUACAAGCAAACGACAGAGGACUCAGUGUGGAGAUGGGUGGGGAAGAUCAGCCAGUUCUUCCUGUGACAUCAAUGUUUUCCCAUGGGACAGUGGCGUUUACUGGUGUGAGUCCAGAGAGGGUCCCAUCAGUAACAUGGUUAACCUGACAGUCACUGGUGGAUCAGUGAUCCUGCAGAGUCCUGUCCUCCCUGUGAUGGAGGGAGAUGACGUCACUCUG